GGAUGUGAUGGGGAGCGAAAUUUAGUAGCGAAGUAGCUGAUUUCACACUGUCAAGAAAAGUCUCUAUCGAGGUUAAAGGUACCCGUACCGCAAACCGACACAGGUGGGUGAGGAGAGUAUCCUAAGGCCAGCGAGAGAACUGUUGUUAAGGAACUCGGCAAAAUGACCCCGUAACUUAGGGAUAAGGGGUGCCACCAUCAGGUGGCCGCAGAGAAUAGGCCCAAGCGACUGUUUACCAAAAACAUAGGUUUCUGCUAAGUCGCAAGACGAUGUAUAGGAGCUGACGCCUGCCCGGUGCUGGAAGGUUAAGGGGAUCUGUUAGAGCAAUCGAAGCAGUGAACUUAAGCCCCAGUAAACGGCGGCCGUAACUAUAACGGUCCUAAGGUAGCGAAAUUCCUUGUCGGGUAAGUUCCGACCCGCACGAAAGGCGUAACGAUUUGGGCACUGUCUCAACAACAGACUCGGUGAAAUUGUAAUUCCGGUGAAGAUGCCGGAUACCUGCGACAGGACGGAAAGACCCCAUGGAGCUUUACUGUAGCUUGACAUUGGGUCUUGGUACUACAUGUACAGGAUAGGUGGGAGGCUUUGAAACCAGGACGCCAGUUUUGGCGGAGCCAUCCUUGGGAU
RNAcentral lists this ribosomal RNA (627 nucleotides) under Clostridioides difficile. Its description in RNAcentral is "bacterial LSU rRNA". It matches the Rfam family "Bacterial large subunit ribosomal RNA", at positions 1559 to 2198 of the family's 2925-position model. The record is from RNAcentral. Lineage: Bacteria; Bacillati; Bacillota; Clostridia; Peptostreptococcales; Peptostreptococcaceae.